Long non-coding RNA from Canis lupus familiaris (dog), 6848 nucleotides. RefSeq lists it as uncharacterized. NCBI's taxonomy places the organism in Eukaryota, Metazoa, Chordata, Mammalia, Carnivora, Canidae. The transcript is spliced from 4 exons. The record is from RefSeq and is a predicted model, not a curated record.
UCCCUGCACCCGAAGGUCAGGGUCCCAAUUUUGGAAAUUUUUUUUUUUUUUUUUUACUUUUUCUCUCUUCAGCUCUGAUCUCCUGGUAACACUCUCCGUGCAAACUCUGAUAUAUUUAGUGGGAAAGAAAUAGUUUCAAAAAAGGAUCUUAAAAGCGUCAGCUUCUGGAAAAGCAGAAAAAUCAUAUAGUCAGCCCCCUCAUGUUUCCUCUGGUGAUGAAACCUCUUCCAUGCAAGAAACAGAUUUUUUUUUUUCCCCUCCCCACCUUUGAAAACACAUAAUUGGGCCAUGCAGAGGCACAGGUGACUUGUAGAAUCAGUCCAUUAAAGUGAGAUUGAGGAAAUAUUCGGGCGGGCAUCUAUCUCAUUUAAGUGUUAAGGUGAGGGGGGCCGGAAUGAGGAGGAAUGUCUUCUUGCAGUAAUUUACCUCCAAAGGUAACACUGAGCAUGGGGCUUAGUUGUUUAAAAGUUAGGAAUCGAAUCUGUGUAAAAGCGUAGGCCUGAUGGAUUAUGACAGCUGACGAGUCACCAGUCACCGGAUAUUUAAGAAAUCAGUUAAAAUAAAUGACGUGGGAAUUUUUCAAAUAAAUAAGUUAUUAUUUUUUUUUAAAUUAGGUAAAAGUUUAUCUACUCUUGGAUACUGUCCCAGGACAUUUGGGGAUGUGGCUUCUUUCUAGAGGCUUAUCAAAGUGAUAGAAAGAUAGUGUCCUCAAGGUAUUUAUUUAUAGGCCACACUGGUUUUUAUGAAAAAUCAAGCAAUUUUUUUCUAGUGUAGUGGCAUCUGAAUGACUCACUCGUUUGUCUUUAGCAGGAAUGCAGAUUAGAAAUGUGUUCUUUAUUUCUCUAACCUAUUUCACUUAGCAAAAAAAAAGCGUUCUUUAAAAGUUUUAAUGCCAGAGUCACACACGUUUUUUGGGGGAGCAAAAAAGCAAAGGGUUGACAGCCCAAAACGUGAAGAAGUUGCCACAGUUUUAAGCAGGACUGUGUUCAGACCAAGAGCGUUUGAGGACUGCAGGUGCCCAUUGGAUUCUAAAUGGUGAGAGGUUGUCAGUGGCGGAAAACACAACCUCUUGGAUAUGGCAAUGAGAUAGCGCUUUGUGGGAGUUUGUGUUGCUAUUUAUUUAAACAAUCUUUGUCAGAUUGAUGAUCUGAAAUCUUGGAGGGAAACAAAACCAUCUCAGUCUGAAAGUGAGACAGGACGAAGAAGAGAAAGAAAUGUGGGUUUUUGUAUCUUUUCUUGUCCACCUUAUCCUUCAUUCACCCUGUUCUGAUAUGCGUACUGUUGGCCUCUUUGUCUUAAUAACUGCGUACUGGAGAAUGAGGAAUCAGAAAUUUCACAAAAGCCUAGCUUCGUUAUUAACGUUCAAUAGUUGUUAAAUGAGGAAAUAAGCUGACAACGACAAAGCUGCUAGCCUGUCUGUCAUGCUUCUUUACCUGACUAGGCUACUCCUAAAUUCAUCUGUUCAAGGGUCUUUUUUGAACGUAUGUGGAAAAAUGAGUUAAAUUUUGAAGACACUUUAGCUUCCUCUUGGUUAGUGAGUUUUCUGAAACUUGUAGAAUUGAAAUUAUGGCAUUAUCAUUAUACUCCAAACUCUAUUGUUUUAAUAGUCAACAUAUUGUUUUUGAUUCCCUCCUGUUCUGCUCUGCGCUAAAUUUUGGAAAGAUUCUGACCAAAACAGUUGGUGACACCGAAGAUAGACUCAAGAGAGAAAGCAAGGGAAUUGUGCUUCUGGACACGAGUCCUGUAUAGUUGCUCCAACUAGUGUUUAAGACUACUCACAUUUUUUUUUCCCUCACAUGAUAAGAAUAUUCAGAUUGGACUGUUCUCUUUGGUUUAUUAGUAGUGGAACCUGUUCUAGGUAAGUUAAACAAAGAUUAGAAGGUUAAAGUAGAUGAAAUUAUUAUUUUUUUCACAAACGCAUUUACUUUCCAAAUCCUACUCUUGAUCUGAAGAUUAAGAUCAAGAGUCUCAGAUAGAUGAUUGAGCUUUGACUGCUAUAGGAAAGUAUUUGCCUGUUUCAGACAAGAUUCCAGCUCCACAUUUCCAAGCCCUUCUGGUUUUUCAGGAACAGGCAGAGGAAUAGGUGUAGGGGAGUUCAAAAAUGGACAAGAGGUUCAAGUGAAACGGUGAUUAGGUUUUCCCAGAGGAUGCAUGAUCCUAGAAAAAACUUACUCUGACGAGGGCUUAGGUUUGGGAUUCAUAAGAUUUAGAAAAAGGAUGUGCUUUGCCUGAAUCUAGAUUUUGUGUGCUGAACAUUUGAGUUACUAGGAAGACGUGACUGCAGUUUUGAAAGUGGUUGUCAGAAUGGUUCCGAGUUAGAGAUUAUUGGCAUGUCUCAACCACUGGUCUGAUGAAGAGAUAUAGUUUUCCUCUUGGGAGCUGUUUCUGUGUCUUAUGAUGCUGUCAAUUUUCUGGUUUCGUGUUGUAAGAGACGUGUGAGUCAAACAACCACCUGCUUGGAGUAAUUGCCUCAAAGAACAACUGGAAAAAGACUUUCAAGAGGGGCAAGGCAGGAAUGACUUGGAUUAUGAGGUAGGAGGCCUUAGAUUCUCCAGGAGAGAACUGUGGUGGGAAUGACAAUGGGUGAUUGUUCAGUUGCCACCUCGAGUUGUUGGAACCACCUCAGGCUGGAGGGAUUUAGGGGGAAAUGGCGCCUUGCCACUUGUUGUGUGUGGUCUGAACCAUCUUGUCAGGAAAACUCUCCCAAGGUGGACUGCACUUGAUUUCUGGUGGUUUCUACUUAUCUCAGAGUUGCUUCCCUUUCGUUUCUAUUGGCAUCUGUAUGGGGGAGAGGAGACUGAGGGCCAAGAUCAUCUCCCCUUACAGUUGAUGUGUCCCUUCUUCUUAGAACCUUUUCUAUUUUGUCCUGAAAAAGGGGCGAGGGAGGAAUUUUCUAGGAAAAGUAGAAAGGGGGAGAGUGUCUGGAGGAGUACACGGUCAAGAAACAGGUGAGUUCCCAACACUGUUGGUAACAUGGAAUUCACCAGAAAGCUCCCAUGGAGAUUUAUUAAUGCCCUCUAACCGUGGCAGGUGAACUGGCAACCAUAGGAAUUUGAGGCUCACCUCUGCCCCCCUUUUGUAAUUGAAAUGUUCCCAGCACACUGCAAUAGAUGGCUAAUUUGAAUGGGCUCAAGAUAUCCCUUGGUAGGACCAUAAGUAAACUGAUUACAAAAGAAACUCGCAUCCAUCUUACUGCGUUCCACUCUGUCUUUUCUCUACUUUCUGCUGUGGUUUAAGGACACCCAGAAGAAAAAAAAAAUCACAGCUCAGUUUAUAUAGCAUAUGAGCAUAAAACGAGCAUUCUGUUUUGUUGUGAAUAUUCAGUUGUUGUCAUCAUAGGAAUUUCAUUUGUGCAAAAAUGAUUUGUAGGUACAUUUAGAAGUACGUGGUUUAUGUGUUUGUGAAAUACAGAGCAUACGUAAACUGAUACUCUGCCAGAAAUGAUUGAUUGUAGUUUAUGGUUGCUCUUUUGAUAAACCCUAUCAUGUCUUAAGAGUGGAGUCAUUUUAGAAAUCAAAAGUACUAUCUCUGCUUUUUCGAAGGCCAUUUAAGAGAGAUGACAUCAGGAGAAAACAAAGUGCUGGGGUAACCCUGAAAACCCUUUGUGAUUUUUGGGAAAAUGUCAAUGUUUUAGUCUCAGCAGAUUCCUGGUAGUGCAAAAUAUCUUAUUUAUAAGUUACAGCCAUUCACGUUCAUCACAAAAUCUCCAGCCUCCUCAAAUCAUGAUAUUUGUCUUUGGGGGUGCUGUACUUUUGUGAUUCUUAGGAACAUGGUGGCCCAGUGCCAAGACCAUGGUAAAUGCCAGGUGUGUACAUGUUGAAUGAAAGGGGAGUUGCUCAUAGUUUUAGCCUCUGGAUUGUGCUUUGCUUUGGCUAAUAGUCAAUUUUACUCAUAUUCCUCAAUCCCCUGGGGAGAAAGACAAUUUGAUCCCAGAAACUAUGGGUAAUCCACACGUGGGUGAGCAAGAGUUAACUAUAUGUGCCAAUGGGCAGUGGGUGGGGGUACAAUGAAUGUGGGGCAUUGUGCACUGAAACAGGAACAGGAUGCCCCUACCUGACCAAGGAAAUGCCAACCUGUAAAAAUUAUAAUAAAAAUAUUUACCUUUCAGAGCGCUGAGACCUGGCUCAAUCAUUUUUGUAAAGCAUUUUACAUCGUGCCAAAAGAAAAAAAGAGUAUUUAAUAAAAUGAAGAAGAUUUUUUUUUUUCAGGUGCUAAUUCUCAUAGAUCAAUUUGACACCCAUUCUGAAAAUGGUUAUUUGGGCCUUUCCAGCUCAGGUCAAAUAUUCAUCUUCUAAAAGUGGGAAUCUAUGUCCAGGAUGAUGAUAGCACUGUGACUUUUGAAAAGACAGCUUAACUAAUAUUUCUUUCUGUUUGUUGUCAUUUAUUUUUAAAAAUAAUAACACAGUCCUCAGUACACCAAGCUCUUGCCAAGAUUAGGCCCAUCUUCUCAGUGGACUUCCCAAGACAAAGUUGCCUUUGUGUAACUGUAACUGGGAGGAUUUGGUGGCACAGGAAACUCAAUGGGGCACUGAAACUUAUUAUUAACAGAAAAUUCAAUGACCUGAUGUGUGUGUGUGUGUGUGUGUGUGUGUGUGUGUGUGUGUGUGUGUUUACUCUGCCAGCUGCUAUCUAUGAUCUAUUUCUCCAUGCAGAUGAUCUCACUAUAUUAGACUUUCCCAGGGAAGAAUAUAAUGGUUUUCCUUGGAGUUCAGUUAGAGGAUAGAAGACCAAAACUGCAGCAUGCUGAUGCAGAGGAGAGCUCACUUCUGUGGAUUAGUUUGUUCAUAAGUUGCUCCAUCUGCAGAGACGCACUCCUGGCCCUGAGACCAAGCCUGGGAAGGCAGGGAUCAUGGAAUAUUCUCUCAGCAAUCUUCCCAGAGGGGAACCUAGAAGGAGUCGCUCCCCGGUAGUGACUGUAGGAGGCACACAGACCCUGACAUCAAUGGAGCCCUUGAUGGAGGCUGAUGACUAAGUAAAGAGCAAGAGCUCCCCCAUGGCACUGGAAAGAGCUUCUCCAAAGGCUGGUAGAACUGUGGCUAUUAGGCUUGGAAACACUAGGACUGCUCUCAAGGUGAGCAUCUACUCCGUCCAGCAAGGUUCUUUGCAUUAAAAAGGCAAUAGUAUAUACGUUCUGCUGAAGGUACGGUGAAGAUCCUGGAUUUACUUUGGACCUUUGUUGAUCAUGGCUUGUGGCCCAGUGAAAAUUAUUUGGAUUUUUUUUUCACCUCCAAGUUGGUUUGGAAGCUAUCAUUGCAAUUAAGAGUCCCUGGAAAAUUUGUUGGGAAAUUAAAAAAACUAAAUAUACAUAAUAAACAGCUAAUAAUUCUAGUAUUUCCUGCAAAUCAUCUUCUUACUAUAUGUACUGAAUGGGACAUUAAAAAUGAACAGCACAGGGGCACCUGGUGGCUCAGUGGUUGAGCGUCUCUGCCUUUGGCUCAGUCAUGAUCCUGGGAUCAAGUCCCGCAUCAGGCUUCCUCCCUCUGCCUAUGCCUCUCUCUCUGUGUCUAUCAUGAAUUAAAAAAGAAAAAAAAAAAAAAGAGAAUAACACACAAAUGUUAAAUUAGACUUAUCUUUAACAAUGUACUAUGUAGACAGAGCUGGUGUCAUUAUUUAUAAGUUAGAAAAAAUUAUCAAAAUACAGACCUAGUAAAUAGGUACACUUGAAAACAAAAGGUAAAUAUGAACUAAAAUGAUUUAAUAAACUAGACAGUGAAAGACCUAUUUUUCUUAUGUAGACAGAGACUCAGCUGUUAUUUGUCGAGUAGCUGCGAUGUGCCAGACACUAGGUACCAGGUAUGCAGGGGAGAAUAAAAGUUCUUUGCCCUCAAGGGGCUUUCUUAGGGGUGUAGCUGGGAUUCAGUACUCUGAAGGAACUACCAAGUACUAAAUCGAUGAUCGUAGGUGGGACUCUCCUACCUGGGUGGUCUAAGAAGUCUCCUCCAGGAAGCUGGAUGCUGAAGGCAUCUGAUGGAUGGGAAGAUCCUCACUGGAUAGAAUAGCAUUUAUGAAGAUCCUAAGCCUGGGAAAGCUUGGCAUGUUGGGGGUCAUAAAGAAGGCUGAUAUGCUGCAGUGCUAGAGUGAAGGGCAGAGGGGGAUGAGGUAGGGUUUGGGGGUUACUGAGACCUAGAGUAUUUAGGCUUGUCAAGACCAUGGGAAAGAGUCUGCAAUUUGUUCCUCCUGAGCCCAGUGGAAAGCCAUGAGAGGUGGUUUGCUAGUUAAAAGAUAAGUGACUGCUGGGUGAAGCCUGGAUUGGAGGGAGGUUGUCCUAGCAGAUGUGGCAAGAAAGACUGGCAGUGAACAUGGAGAGAAGCAUAUGAUUCUUCUGUGCCUCCUCCUGCCUUUUUCUAUAGUGUCUGUUCAGCAGUGGCAGGAGUUUCACCAACUGGUGGAAAUAGCAAGAUUUGGUGAUGGCCUGGACAUAGGAGUGAGGGAAGGAAUGAGGAUUCUAGCUUAAGUUACUGGGUGCAGUGGGGAGACUGAAGGAGAGCAGAUUUGAGGGGAGCAAAGGGAAUCAAGAGCUCUAGUUUGGGCAUGUUUACUGAGUUGCCUGUUAAACUUCACAGGGAGAUGUUCAGUUUCCCUUUGUAUCCAGUGCCAUUAGCAAAACAGGAGGCACUUCUUCUAGGCAACUAUUUUAUAUUUUAAUAUUUCUCUCUUUCUCACUAUGGCCAGAUUUACAAAUACAGGUUAAGUGUGUGACCUUUAUUUAUAUAUCCCAAAUGACAAAAGAAUAUUCUAACACUGAGUAUCUACUGUAUGGAAAACUGAUGGUGGGGGUGGUGGGUUAACAUUAAAAAAUCUUGGGGCUCCUGGCUGGCUCAGUGGGUAGAGCAGGCAACUCUUGAUCU